UGAACUCCGAAUGCUAAUAAAUAUACCACACAGUGAGGGCUUGGGUGCUAAGGUCCAAGUCCGAGAGGGAAAGAACCCAGAUCUACAGCUAAGGUCCCAAAGUAUAUGUUAAGUUGAACUAAGGCGGUCCAGUUGCCGAGACAGCAAGGAGGUUGGCUUGGAAGCAGCCAUUCCUUUAAAGAGUGCGUAAUAGCUCACUAGUCAAGCGACUCGGCGUCGAUAAUAAGCGGGCAUAAGCUGUUUGCCGAAGCUGUGGGAAUGAAAAUUCGGUAGGGGAGCAUUCCAGUUGCAUCGAAGGUG
This 300-nucleotide ribosomal RNA is filed under the name Azadinium spinosum. RNAcentral describes it as "partial Bacterial large subunit ribosomal RNA". It matches the Rfam family "Bacterial large subunit ribosomal RNA", at positions 950 to 1258 of the family's 2925-position model. The record is from RNAcentral. Lineage: Eukaryota; Dinophyceae; Gonyaulacales; Amphidomataceae.